ACGGUUACUGCCUGAAGCUCACCGACAUGAAGGGCUUCUUUCAGCCCUGCUAUGGGCUCCUGGAUCCCCUCCCCUUCUACGAGUCCUGCUACCUGGACGGCUGCUACAACCACAAGAAGUUCCAGCUGUGCGGCUCCCUGGCUGCCUACGGGGAGGCCUGCCGUUCCUUCGGCAUCCUUAGCACGGAGUGGAUUGAGAAAGAGAAUUGCUGUAAGAGAAUUCUUUUAUUCCUGUGGGUGCCACGGGGGUAGCAUUGUCCGAUGUCGGGUCCACCCUAUAUUUCCUUACCCAUCUGCUCCAUGGGGUGGGGGAGAGGGCUGUGAGCUGUCCCUGAGAUUUAAAGAGGAAGCAUUUCCAGGGGAGUCUGACCCUUUUGUAGCCCCUGACCAGUGCAGAAUAGAUGACGAGGCUCUGGCUCUGGGUCUGGCUCUGGGUCUGGGUCUGGCUCUGGCUCUGGCUCUGGCUCUGGCUCUGGCUCUGGCUCUGGCUCUGGCUCUGGCUCUGGCUCUGGCUCUGGCAGCAACCGUUUACACUUCGUGAAAGGACAUAGUUAGCCUGGAACUCCUGACUGUCUUACUUCUCAACUCAGCCGGAUUGAGCUGUCUUCACCUGGCUUCAA
This 619-nucleotide long non-coding RNA is filed under the name Rattus norvegicus (Norway rat). Its description in RNAcentral is "long non-coding RNA NONRATT028449". The record is from RNAcentral. Lineage: Eukaryota; Metazoa; Chordata; Mammalia; Rodentia; Muridae.